Molecule: ribosomal RNA, 459 nt
Filed under: uncultured candidate division MSBL1 archaeon
Lineage: Archaea; Methanobacteriati; Methanobacteriota
Description: bacterial SSU rRNA
Rfam family: Archaeal small subunit ribosomal RNA
Source: RNAcentral
GAAGUGUAAAAAGCUUCAGGUAAUAAGGGCCGGGUAAGACUGGUGCCAGCCGCCGCGGUAACACCAGCGGCCCAAGUGGUGGCCGAUUUUAUUGGGCCUAAAGCGUCCGUAGCCGGACUGACGGGUCCUUUGUGAAAUCGGACGGCUUAACCGUUCGACUUGCAAGGGAAACUGUCGGUCUUGGGGUCGGUAGGCGCCGAGGGUACUCCGGGGGUAGCGGUGAAAUGCUAUAAUCCCUGGGGGACCGCCGGUGGCGAAAGCGCUCGGCGAGGCCGAACCUGACGGUGAGGGACGAAGGCCAGGGGAGCAACCNGAUUAGAUACCCGGGUAGUCCUGGCUGUAAAGGAUGUGGGCUAGGUGCCGGAUGUUCCUCGAGAGCAUUCGGUGCCGAAGGGAAGCCGUUAAGCCCACCGCCUGGGAAGUACGGCCGCAAGGCUGAAACUUAAAGGAAUUGGCGGG